RNAcentral lists this ribosomal RNA (440 nucleotides) under uncultured bacterium. RNAcentral describes it as "partial 16S ribosomal RNA". It matches the Rfam family "Bacterial small subunit ribosomal RNA", at positions 338 to 795 of the family's 1533-position model. The record is from RNAcentral.
CCUACGGGGGGCAGCAGUAGGGAAUAUUGCUCAAUGGGGGAAACCCUGAAGCAGCAACGCCGCGUGGAGGAUGAAGGUUUUAGGUUUGUAAACUCCUUUUGUUAGAGAAGAUUAUGACGGUAUCUAACGAAUAAGCACCGGCUAACUCCGUGCCAGCAGCCGCGGUAAUACGGAGGGUGCAAGCGUUACUCGGAAUCACUGGGCGUAAAGGGGGCGUAGGCGGGGUAGUAAGUCAGGUGUGAAAUGCUGUGGCUUAACUACAGAACUGCAUUUGAAACUGUUACUCUGGAGUGUGGGAGAGGUAAGUGGAAUUCUUGGUGUAGGGGUAAAAUCCGUAGAGAUCAAGAGGAAUACUCAUGGCGAAGGCGACCUGCUGGAACAUUACUGACGCUGAGGCACGAAAGCGUGGGGAGCAAACAGGAUUAGAUACCCGAGUAGUC